GUCUGGAUGGUCUAGUUGGUUAUGACGUCGGUCUCAUAGUUCCAACUGUGAUCUUGUUAAACACAAGAGGUAUCCGAAGGUCGUGAGUUCGAUUCUCGCUCUGGACA
This is a transfer RNA of Cladophialophora immunda, 107 nucleotides long. It matches the Rfam family "tRNA". Rfam says of the family: Transfer RNA (tRNA) molecules are approximately 80 nucleotides in length. Lineage: Eukaryota; Fungi; Ascomycota; Eurotiomycetes; Chaetothyriales; Herpotrichiellaceae. The record is from Rfam.